Molecule: ribosomal RNA, 729 nt
Filed under: uncultured bacterium
Lineage: Bacteria
Description: bacterial SSU rRNA
Rfam family: Bacterial small subunit ribosomal RNA
Source: RNAcentral
GAGUUUGAUCCUGGCUCAGGAUGAACGCCAGCGAUAGGCUUAACACAUGCAAGUCGAGGGGCAACAGGGUGUAGCAAUACACUGCUGGCGACCGGCGAAUGGGUGAGUAACACGUAUGCAACCUACCUUCAAGAGGGGAAUAGCCCGGCGAAAGUCGGAUUAAUGCUCCAUAAAACAGGGGUCACGCAUGUGACUAUUUGUUAAAGGAUUAAUUGCUUGAAGAUGGGCAUGCGUUCCAUUAGGCAGUUGGGGGGGUAACGGCCCACCAAACCGACGAUGGAUAGGGGUUCUGAGAGGAAGGUCCCCCACAUUGGUACUGAGAAACGGACCAAACUCCUACGGGAGGCAGCAGUGAGGAAUAUUGGUCAAUGGGCGAAAGCCUGAACCAGCCAAGUCGCGUGAAGGAAGAAGGAUCUAUGGUUUGUAAACUUCUUUUAUAGGGGGGUAAAGAGGGUGACGUGUCACUUAUUGCAAGUACCCUAUGAAUAAGCAUCGGCUAACUCCGUGCCAGCAGCCGCGGUAAUACGGAGGAUGCGAGCGUUAUCCGGAUUUAUUGGGUUUAAAGGGUGCGUAGGUGGACUGUUUAGUCAGUGGUGAAAUGCUGAUGCUCAACGUUAGCAUUGCCGUUGAAACUGACAGUCUUGAGAGUGAUUGAGGCAGGCGGAAUGUGUGGUGUAGCGGUGAAAUGCAUAGAUAUCACGCAGAACUCCAAUUGCGAAGGCAGCUUGC